GCCCGGCUGGCGCAAUCGGUAGCGCGUAAGACUUCUAUCUUCAUUGCUCUCAGGAGCAGAGAAGUCCAUCUUAAGGCUGUGGGUUCGAGUCCCACGUUGGGUG
Molecule: non-coding RNA, 103 nt
Organism: Collariella sp. IMI 366227
Lineage: Eukaryota; Fungi; Ascomycota; Sordariomycetes; Sordariales; Chaetomiaceae
Source: the annotation of a GenBank genome assembly